UUUUGCAGGAUAUGGUUUGUGUUGAUUUAUGGAGAUAAAGGUGGUGUUGAAGGUGUAUGAGUGAUGUAGAAGUUUUAGAGAUGGAUGUUUAUGAGAAAAUGAUAGUGAUGUUGUUUGAAUGAAAAUUAUUUUAUUAUUUCUUUUUGUUGGAAAAUAUACGUGAGAUAUGAAUUACAUUUGAGUGUCCUAUUGUGAAUAUUUUU
RNAcentral lists this long non-coding RNA (203 nucleotides) under Lathyrus oleraceus (garden pea). RNAcentral's name for it is "Pisum sativum (pea) long non-coding RNA (PSAT_LNC023456)". Lineage: Eukaryota; Viridiplantae; Streptophyta; Magnoliopsida; Fabales; Fabaceae. The record is from RNAcentral.